This is a long non-coding RNA of Osmerus eperlanus (European smelt), 2108 nucleotides long. RefSeq lists it as uncharacterized. The record is from RefSeq and is a predicted model, not a curated record. Lineage: Eukaryota; Metazoa; Chordata; Actinopteri; Osmeriformes; Osmeridae. The transcript is spliced from 3 exons.
UACAAGACAGGAGUGCGCUGGGUGAACCGGGUGUGAGUUUCUAUGAUCAGAAUGAAGCGCUUGUUGUGGAUUCACCUCUUUCUAGGUCUGAUGAUUCUGUUUGCUGGAACGAAUGGGUGGACAGAGAUGGAGGUGGACUUGGGGGGAAAUGUAACAAUCCCCUGUUCUCUUAAACUGAACGAAAGUGUUGUCUGGUAUAAACAACAUGAGGCUCAGUCUCCUAUGUUCUUACUACACUUACUGCAUGAUAAAUUUCCAUUUUACAUCAAUAACAGUUUCAAGAAGAAAUACUUUUUACUACAAGAUGAAGGAUUGUUGAUACAGAACGUCACAAUGGAGGAUUAUGUGGUUUAUUACUGUGGUAAGAAAGAUGGUAUCAGAAUGAAGUUCGACAACGCCACCAGGCUUGUUAGUGUGAGACAUCCUAAGACCACAGAUGAUCCAUCUGAACCCAAGAUCGGGACUCCCGGUUCAGAGCUUACUUGCUCAAAUCUACUUAUACGUUCUACUGUCAUGAACGGGAUAUUUCUAUUACUGUGUAAAUUAAGUUGGAUUCUCCGAAGUAUUUCUUAUUGUAGUGUUUUUCCACCCUUACAUUCUUUAUUCAAAUACGCUUAUGCAUAUACUUAUACGAAUAUAAUCAUACUAUUAUCAUACUUGGGGCAGAAUAUGAUCAUGGUCAUUGUACACUAAGGCAGUAUGUGUUCCUUCUCCUCAAGCGGUUGUGAGUAGUUGUUGGAUUUACGGCCUGUGUAGGAGAGCCUCCACCCAGGGUGCUGGUCCUCCUCCACCUCCUGGUCCUCCUCCACCUCCUGGUCCUCCUCCACCUCCUGGUCCUCCUCAACCAGACCAUGAGCCACAGCACGAGGCGAUACAGCUGUCACCGCCAGAAAGGACACAGCAGCCUAUAUAACUACUUAUUCCCGAGUGCAAUUCUCAACCAGCACACAUACAAUGUCCUUCUCGGUGGCAUGUUUCAUUAUAAGUGGGUGGAACAUGUCCUUUUUUUAAACGGCUAAUCCAUCCCCAUCUACACUUUUUCUUACGAAAUUCUAUUUAACGGCCACAUCCUCAGUUAUUUCAAAAGCAACCUACACCAGUGGUACAAUGAAAUGCCAGAUUGCACUCACACACAGGCUGCUGUUGCAUCUGUGGCUAGGACCCGUUAACCAUAUCCUGUCAUCACAAUCCAUCUCAACUGCCAUUUUUUUACCUUUCACAUGUCCAAACACCUAUACAUAUUUAAAAAUUCAGAAAAGCACUUUAAGACCAGCCUAUCAUAGUCCUGUCCUCUCUCUGAUUUGUUAGGAUCCAGUAUCAAGAAGUGUUGAAAGCAUAGCACCUUAAAAUGUAUAUGUACUGCAUUUUUCUUACUCAUGUAACUUCAAAAGAAGUACAAUGAAAUCUUAAUUCAUCUCAAAUUGAAGUAGUGUCUUGGUGAUUGUCUGUUUUCUGUGUCUGAUGCAGUAGAAAUGUAUUGUACAGCCUCUUACACUUACAAAGACAUUUACAUUUAGUCAUUUGGCAGACGCUCUUAUCCAGAGCGACUUACAGUAAGUACAGGGACAUUCCCGCCGAGGCAAGUAGGGUGAAGUGCCUUGCCCAAGGCAACAACGUCAUUUGGCACGGCCGGGAAUCGAACUGGCAACCUUCAGAUUACUAGCCCGAUUCCCUAACCGCUCAGCCACCUGACUCCUGAUUCCCCACAGGAUGUCUGUGGGGAAUCUUUACUGAUCUUGUUUCACUUUGUUGUAACCAUUGUGAUGCAUCAAAUUACACACCUUCAGUCACAUGAUAGAUCAUUGAGUAUUUUAUAACGUGCAUCAGAAAUGGUAAAAUUGGACAUUUCCUUAAGAUAUUAAACAUCUAGAACAAAAUAGGUAUCUGUACAAGCUGGGUGUUGAAAAUAAGUAUUAUACUGUGACUCCUUCCAUUCUAGAGGGCGUCUACAUUGAGUGGUAACAUGAUGGGGAUGUUCCGGAUCUUUCAUGAUCUCAUGUAGCCUGGUUCUAACCUGAAAAUUGUGUCAAUGUCCAAAUAUUUAUGGACCUAACUGUAUGUUAUGGAUUCUCUUGAACUUUUAAGGCAUUUUCUACUGCAGCUAUGGU